This 496-nucleotide ribosomal RNA is filed under the name uncultured bacterium. RNAcentral's name for it is "partial 16S ribosomal RNA". It matches the Rfam family "Bacterial small subunit ribosomal RNA", at positions 28 to 506 of the family's 1533-position model. The record is from RNAcentral.
GACGAACGCUGGCGGCGUGCCUAAUACAUGCAAGUUGAGCGAUGAAGAUUGGUGCUUGCACCAAUUUGAAGAGCAGCGAACGGGUGAGUAACGCGUGGGGAAUCUGCCUUUGAGCGGGGGACAACAUUUGGAAACGAAUGCUAAUACCGCAUAAUAACUUUAAACAUAAGUUUUAAGUUUGAAAGAUGCAAUUGCAUCACUCAAAGAUGAUCCCGCGUUGUAUUAGCUAGUUGGUGAGGUAAAGGCUCACCAAGGCGAUGAUACAUAGCCGACCUGAGAGGGUGAUCGGCCACAUUGGGACUGAGACACGGCCCAAACUCCUACGGGAGGCAGCAGUAGGGAAUCUUCGCCAAUGGACGAAAGUCUGACCGAGCAACGCCGCGUGAGUGAAGAAGGUUUUCGGAUCGUAAAACUCUGUUGGUAGAGAAGAACGUUGGUGAGAGUGGAAAGCUCAUCAAGUGACGGUAACUACCCAGAAAGGGACGGCUAACUACGU